AAUAUAUAUUAAUCGUGCGGAUUAAUAAUCCAGGACUCUAAAACCGUGUUGUUUGAAAUGAUCUUUAGCGUUGUUUCAAACGUCAAGUCCAUCGGAGAGAUUGAAAUUUUGUUCAUCUUAGUGCCCUUUUGUAUUGAUUAUAAAUGAUUGGAGAUUAAAUAAGUUUCGAUUUUUUUGCUUUCCAAUCAUUACAGUUUUUGCAUGGGCUGGUAGGACAGACAGUU
Molecule: small nucleolar RNA, 224 nt
Filed under: Tetrapisispora phaffii CBS 4417
Lineage: Eukaryota; Fungi; Ascomycota; Saccharomycetes; Saccharomycetales; Saccharomycetaceae
Description: Small nucleolar RNA snR35
Rfam family: Small nucleolar RNA snR35
Source: Rfam by way of RNAcentral